This is a long non-coding RNA of Armigeres subalbatus, 1509 nucleotides long. RefSeq lists it as uncharacterized. NCBI's taxonomy places the organism in Eukaryota, Metazoa, Arthropoda, Insecta, Diptera, Culicidae. The record is from RefSeq and is a predicted model, not a curated record. The transcript has 3 exons.
UUCACUUAUAAUUAAUUUUCAUAAUCCCUUAUAACAUCAAUAAUUUUUCCUAAUUAUUUUCAUAAGUAGAAUUAUGAAAAUAGUAAGUAGCCAAAACAGAUAUUUCCCCUUCUGAGUCAUUAAUUAAACUUAUGAUUUUCACAAAUAUUCAUUGUGGUGCCAAAUCAUAAGUGGUUUUGAUGAAGGUCCUAAGUUUUUUUGGCUGAGUGCACGGUUUCGCACCGGGUUCACCAAUACAAAUAUACUUCAACUGUCAAAACCACGUGGGUGGGUGGGACUUGGCGGAAUAAACAAGCAGAAGGGAGAAACGAAACUGUCUGUUUAUAGGCCUUUUCAUGUGACACUGCCGAGACUGCACUUGUUUACAACCGCUGAACAGGCCUGCAAGUCCGAAGCUGUCACUUUCAUAGAAGAACUGUCAAUUGACGAUAAAAUCAGCUGUUUUUAAACGUCUCGUGAAGAGGCCCAUUAAAAUAAAGUGCGCAUUGAAAAUCUUUUUUUUUUUGGGAAUUUUGUGAUAUUUGUAAUUGUAGUUUUAAAUGAAAUUAAUCCAGUACUGUUUAGAUUCAGUUUUAAAAAUAAUUGUUAGGGAAGUUAUGUAUUCAUAAGUUCAUUCAGGUUUUCCUCGCAUUUUGUGUCCUAAAUUAGGUCGGUGGAUGAAAUUAUGUAGUUUGGGAAUUCCCUUUGAAACCCGUUCAUAAAAUCCGCUAGGAAUUGUCAGAAAAAUAUAAUUGAGGAAUACCGAAUAGAAUUAUUUCUUAUGCAGAAUUUCUUUUGAAAUUCUUCCAAAAACUCUUUCGUGCGUUUCAGAAUUUUCUUCGGGAAUUCUGCCAGAAAUUACUUCAGACAUUCCCCGCAUAGAAAUAAAUCGUAUGCUGAAUAUUUCAUAUUAUAAGUAUUCCAUUCCGCUUGUAAUCAUCAUUAGCUGUACGAUACAUGUGCAAUCAUAUGAUUAAGUUUUUUACCGCCCUGAUCAUACCAAAUUAUUGACAGAUUGUACAUCUUAUAAUAAAGAUACCUGGAAUGAGAAAUGAAAAAUAUUCUCAUAAGAAAAAAAUCAUACAUGAUAUAAUUUGGGUAGCUUUUCACACCCGACUGAACAAAAAGAAGUGUUUUCAUUUUCAGUGUUGAAGCACGUUGAAGUGUCAAUUCUUUCGGCAGUUGGUCGGGCAGACUUUAUAAAUAUCAUUAUAAAUAGUUUUCUUAAAGUUGGUGGUGAUCUCAAAUGCAUAAUCAUCCAUUUCCUCCCAUACACUACACGGGGAAGCGCCGUGAUCGAGCGCCGGUUGUAUACUGGAUUCAGCUAAUCGGGGUCAACCUUGGGCCAAUGCUUCCGAUGAUAUGCUUCCGAAGGUGAAAUUGUUGAGUGGACAUCCGUACGGAAGAGGUCCUGUAAACGCAGCUUAUGAAUCCAGUGUCCUGCACUCGGUAAUAGUGGUGAGUGUGGCAAAAUAUGUUUUGAUGUGAUUAUGAUAACUAUAUUAGGCAAUAAAUUAAAUAUAACAGAUA